CUUUUUUAUGGUGUGCGCGACUACCAUGCAGUCGAACGGUAACAGGAAGCAGCUUGCUGCUUCGCUGACGAGUGGCGGACGGGUGAGUAAUGUCUGGGGAUCUGCCCGAUGGAGGGGGAUAACCACUGGAAACGGUGGCUAAUACCGCAUAACGUCGCAAGACCAAAGUGGGGGACCUUCGGGCCUCACACCAUCGGAUGAACCCAGAUGGGAUUAGCUAGUAGGUGGGGUAACGGCUCACCUAGGCGACGAUCCCUAGCUGGUCUGAGAGGAUGACCAGCCACACUGGAACUGAGACACGGUCCAGACUCCUACGGGAGGCAGCAGUGGGGAAUAUUGCACAAUGGGCGCAAGCCUGAUGCAGCCAUGCCGCGUGUAUGAAGAAGGCCUUCGGGUUGUAAAGUACUUUCAGCGGGGAGGAAGGGAUGGAGCUUAAUACGCUUUGUCAUUGACGUUACCCGCAGAAGAAGCACCGGCUAACUCCGUGCCAGCAGCCGCGGUAAUACGGAGGGUGCAAGCGUUAAUCGGAAUUACUGGGCGUAAAGCGCACGCAGGCGGUCUGUCAAGUCGGAUGUGAAAUCCCCGGGCUCAACCCGGGAACUGCAUCCGAAACUGGCAGGCUUGAGUCUCGUAGAGGGGGGUAGAAUUCCAGGUGUAGCGGUGAAAUGCGUAGAGAUCUGGAGGAAUAUCGGUGGCGAAGGCGGCCCCCUGGACGAAGACUGACGCUCAGGUGCGAAAGCGUGGGAGCAAACAGGAUUUAGAUACCCUGGUAGUCCACGCCGUAAACGAUGUCGACUUGGAGGCUGUGAGCUUGACUCGUGGCUUCCGGAGCUAACGCGGUUAGGUCGACCGCCGUGGGGAAUACGGCCGCAAGGGUUAAAACUCAAAUGAAAUUGACGGGGGGCCCGCAC
Molecule: ribosomal RNA, 911 nt
Filed under: Mixta intestinalis
Lineage: Bacteria; Pseudomonadati; Pseudomonadota; Gammaproteobacteria; Enterobacterales; Erwiniaceae
Description: bacterial SSU rRNA
Rfam family: Bacterial small subunit ribosomal RNA
Source: RNAcentral